AAAUAAAAACUCUUUGUGUGUUCAAGAACAACUAUGUUCUAAAUAUCCUUUCUUUCUCCCUAAAAGCUUUAGUUACUAUAUUCAUAUCAUAAUCCCCCACAUAGAUGCAAGUAUGCUCUACACCUGCCUCAACUGAGGAUCUUGUGUAUUAGAAAACAUCUGACCUUCGAUCCAUACUACGGUCCUCACUAUUAUGAAAUAUCAAUUUUAAUUGAUAGUCUGUGUUAUGCCUAUGGUUGGCUGUUUGAUGAGGAUUCAGUUGAGACUGAGUUUCAUGAUAUGUGAGGCUCCCGACCAGUAUGGUAUCAGAGCAUCGUUAAGAAGAAGGGGUGCAUAUGGUGUGAAUAUUAGUAAAGAAAGUAAGUAAGGGAGAAAACCACUUACACAUGGAAACACUUGAGUUUUUAUGAUUCAAUAAGUUUUUAUGAUUCAAACGGAACAUAAGAAUUUUUUAAUUUUUUUUUUUUAUUAUUU
Molecule: long non-coding RNA, 474 nt
Filed under: Lathyrus oleraceus (garden pea)
Lineage: Eukaryota; Viridiplantae; Streptophyta; Magnoliopsida; Fabales; Fabaceae
Description: Pisum sativum (pea) long non-coding RNA (PSAT_LNC013296)
Source: RNAcentral